This 1139-nucleotide long non-coding RNA is filed under the name Pogona vitticeps (central bearded dragon). RNAcentral describes it as "lncRNA (ENSPVIG00000000205.1)". The record is from RNAcentral. Lineage: Eukaryota; Metazoa; Chordata; Lepidosauria; Squamata; Agamidae.
UGAAAAGCUUGUAAUCCUUUUGGAAGGAUUGCUUGGCUUUCCGGACUUCAUCGGAAAGUAAUUGUGGAUGGUGCGGUUGUUUUGACCUCUGCGGGUUGCAAUGGGGUUGUGCGGGGCGGAGCGGGGGGAGGGGGAGAGAAAGCACGAGAGCGAGCGAGGCGAGGCGCUCGGCCGUUGCAACCCUUGCCGGCGCGUGCAUCUCUUUGGGGGGGGGGAAGAGGUGUGCGUGCGUGUGCACGCACACACACACAUACAGCGCGCACACAGCGAUUAAUUUUUCAGCCACUCAAACUUGACGUGAUAUUUUCGAGGGGGUAACACCCGUGAUUUCAUUAGACUUUUAAAAAAAGAAAAAAAAAACACGCGAAGAAAAAGCAGCAAGCAGCCGCCGCCUCCUCGGCGUUACUCCUUCCUCCCCCUCCCCCUCCUCCCUUCCCCCCCCGCCUUCUUCUCCAUUGAGGACAGGCCGCGACGGUGCAGCCGACGGAGGAGCCGGGCGCGCGAGAUGCUCUUUUGUGCCGGCAGCGGCGGCGGGGUUGCUAAAGACGAGAACCGGGGUGAUCCCCAGUGCUACUUCUCCUCCGACUUCUGCCAGCAGCCAACAGUCGGGCGCUAUUGCCCUAUGGAGAGCCAUUUCCUUUAGCCACUGGCAUCGAAAGGGAGCCUCGGCGCAGUGCCGAAGACCGCAUCCACAGAAAAACUUCACAGCCGCCGCCGAGGUCAAUUUGCCCAGAUUUCUUUGGCCCCGGAUGGCAUUCAGUUCCAUCCAGUAAGGCGCAGCAGUAGCCCUCUCGCCCAUCAGAACCACUCCGGAUUGGACGCCCGUUUAAAUGCUUCCAAGUUAAAAUCGUAGUGAUGUUUCUAUGGUUGUUGGGUUGUCUCGCUGUUCCUCUUUUUCCAUCUUCUCCUCCUCCUCCUUCUCCUCUUCCUUCUUCUCGUCCUCAUCUUAACGGCACAGGAACUGUAGCGAACCAGAUGGGCUGUCCUAACUCUCCAGGGAAUGGGCAGGUGCUACUGAGUUAAUAUUUUCCGCUUUACAAAGCAAAUUGACACGCAUCCUUCCCCCUUUCAUUUGUGCAGAUCACUCCACCCAAGAAAGAAAUAUCUUUCUCUCUAGAUCAAACCCCUUGCUUAAUUGA